RNAcentral lists this ribosomal RNA (466 nucleotides) under uncultured bacterium. Its description in RNAcentral is "partial 16S ribosomal RNA". It matches the Rfam family "Bacterial small subunit ribosomal RNA", at positions 28 to 507 of the family's 1533-position model. The record is from RNAcentral.
GAUGAACGCUGGCGGCGUGCUUAACACAUGCAAGUCGAACGGAAAGGCUCCUGCUUGCUGAGGUCCUCGAGUGGCGAACGGGUGAGUAACACGUGGGUGAUCUGCCCUGCACUUCGGGAUAAGCCUGGGAAACUGGGUCUAAUACCGGAUGGGACGAUGUUUUGCAUGCCAUUUUGGAAAGUUUUUUCGGUGUGGGAUGAGCUCGCGGCCUAUCAGCUUGUUGGUGGGGUAAUGGCCUACCAAGGCGUCGACGGGUAGCCGGCCUGAGAGGGUGUACGGCCACAUUGGGACUGAGGAACGGCCCAGACUCCUACGGGAGGCAGCAGUGGGGAAUAUUGCACAAUGGGCGGAAGCCUGAUGCAGCGACGCCGCGUGGGGGAUGACGGCCUUCGGGUUGUAAACUGCUUUCGCUAGGGAAGAAGCGCAAGUGACGGUACCUGGAGAAGAAGCACCGGCUAACUACGUG